RNAcentral lists this ribosomal RNA (253 nucleotides) under uncultured bacterium. Its description in RNAcentral is "partial 16S ribosomal RNA". It matches the Rfam family "Bacterial small subunit ribosomal RNA", at positions 524 to 776 of the family's 1533-position model. The record is from RNAcentral.
UACGUAGGGGGCAAGCGUUGUCCGGAAUCAUUGGGCGUAAAGCGUGUGUAGGCGGCUGAGCAAGUCUGCUCUGAAAGCCCGGGGCUCAACCCCGGGAGGCGGGUGGAUACUGCUCAGCUCGAGUCCGGAAGAGGAGUGUGGAAUUCCUGGUGUAGCGGUGAAAUGCGCAGAUAUCAGGAGGAACACCAAUGGCGAAGGCAGCACUCUGGGACGGUACUGACGCUGAGACGCGAAAGCGUGGGGAGCAAACAGG